Molecule: ribosomal RNA, 474 nt
Filed under: uncultured organism
Description: partial 16S ribosomal RNA
Rfam family: Bacterial small subunit ribosomal RNA
Source: RNAcentral
GUACACUCCUACGGGAGGCAGCAGUGGGGAAUUUUGGACAAUGGGCGAAAGCCUGAUCCAGCCAUGCCGCGUGCAGGAUGAAGGCCUUCGGGUUGUAAACUGCUUUUGUACGGAACGAAACGGCCUUUUCUAAUAAAGAGGGCUAAUGACGGUACCGUAAGAAUAAGCACCGGCUAACUACGUGCCAGCAGCCGCGGUAAUACGUAGGGUGCAAGCGUUAAUCGGAAUUACUGGGCGUAAAGCGUGCGCAGGCGGUUAUGUAAGACAGUUGUGCAAUCCCCGGGCUCCACCUGGGAACUGCAUCUGUGGCUGCAUAGCUAGAGUACGGUAGAGGGGGAUGGAAUUCCGCGUGUAGCAGUGAAAUGCGUAGAUAUGCGGAGGAACACCGAUGGCGAAGGCAAUCCCCUGGACCUGUACUGACGCUCAUGCACGAAAGCGUGGGGAGCAAACAGGAUUAGAAACCCGGGUAGUCCC